GAUGAACGCUGGCGGCGUGCCUAACACAUGCAAGUCGAUCGGAGUCCAGCCUUUAAGACCUUCGGGUCAAAGAGGGGAAGACUGAGUGGCGGACGGGUGAGUAACACGUGGGCAACCUGGCUCAUAGAGGGGGAUAACAGAGAGAAAUUUCUGCUAAUACCGCAUAAGCACACACUGCCGCAUGGCAGAGGGUGAAAAGAGAAUCGCUAUGAGAUGGACCCGCGUCUGAUUAGCCAGUUGGCAGGGUAAGAGCCUACCAAAGCGACGAUCAGUAGCCGAUCUGAGAGGAUGAACGGCCACAUUGGGACUGAGACACGGCCCAAACUCCUACGGGAGGCAGCAGUGGGGGAUAUUGCACAAUGGGGGGAACCCUGAUGCAGCGACGCCGCGUGAGUGAAGAAGUAUUUCGGUAUGUAAAGCUCUAUCAGCAGGGAAGAUAAUGACAGUACCUGAAUAAGAAGCCCCGGCUAACUACGUG
Molecule: ribosomal RNA, 478 nt
Filed under: uncultured bacterium
Lineage: Bacteria
Description: partial 16S ribosomal RNA
Rfam family: Bacterial small subunit ribosomal RNA
Source: RNAcentral